GACGAACGCUGGCGGCGUGAUUAACACAUGCAAGUCGAACGGAAAGGCCCUGCUUUUGUGGGGUGCUCGAGUGGCGAACGGGUGAGUAACACGUGAGUAACCUGCCCUUGACUUUGGGAUAACUUCAGGAAACUGGGGCUAAUACCGGAUAGGAGCUCCUGCUGCAUGGUGGGGGUUGGAAAGUUUCGGCGGUUGGGGAUGGACUCGCGGCUUAUCAGCUUGUUGGUGGGGUAGUGGCUUACCAAGGCUUUGACGGGUAGCCGGCCUGAGAGGGUGACCGGCCACAUUGGGACUGAGAUACGGCCCAGACUCCUACGGGAGGCAGCAGUGGGGAAUAUUGCACAAUGGGCGGAAGCCUGAUGCAGCAACGCCGCGUGCGGGAUGACGGCCUUCGGGUUGUAAACCGCUUUCGCCUGUGACGAAGCGUGAGUGACGGUAAUGGGUAAAGAAGCACCGGCUAACUACGUG
This 468-nucleotide ribosomal RNA is filed under the name uncultured bacterium. RNAcentral's name for it is "partial 16S ribosomal RNA". It matches the Rfam family "Bacterial small subunit ribosomal RNA", at positions 28 to 507 of the family's 1533-position model. The record is from RNAcentral.